UCUCCGUUGGUGAGCCAGCGGAGGGAUCAUUACAGGACUCCCAAGACUCCUACACCCCUGUGAACUUUACAAUAAACACGUUUGUUCUGCGGGUGUCUCGGAAGUGGUUCUCCCGCCCCGGGACGCUAAACCCGCCGGCAGCCUACUAUCUUCUGUCUCUUUUCGUUGGCAUUUCGAGUACAAUCAAACAAGUUAAAACUUUCAACAACGGAUCUCUUGGUUCUG
Molecule: unclassified non-coding RNA, 225 nt
Filed under: plant metagenome
Description: partial contains small subunit ribosomal RNA, internal transcribed spacer 1, and 5.8S ribosomal RNA
Source: RNAcentral